CGCGUAGGAAUCUACCCAUUAGCCUGGGAUAACAGCGGGAAACUGCUGCUAAUACCGGAUACGCCCUUCGGGGGAAAGGUUUACUACUAAUGGAUGAGCCUGCGUUAGAUUAGCUAGUUGGUGAGGUAAUGGCUCACCAAGGCUCCGAUCUAUAGCCGGUCUGAGAGGACGAUCGGCCACACUGGGACUGAGACACGGCCCAGACUCCUACGGGAGGCAGCAGUGGGGAAUAUUGGGCAAUGGACGCAAGUCUGACCCAGCCAUGCCGCGUGUGUGAUGAAGGCCUUAGGGUUGUAAAGCACUUUUAGUAGUGAAGAUGAUGACAGUAGCUACAGAAAAAGCCCCGGCUAACUUCGUG
This 358-nucleotide ribosomal RNA is filed under the name uncultured bacterium. Its description in RNAcentral is "bacterial SSU rRNA". It matches the Rfam family "Bacterial small subunit ribosomal RNA", at positions 114 to 507 of the family's 1533-position model. The record is from RNAcentral.